This 468-nucleotide ribosomal RNA is filed under the name uncultured bacterium. RNAcentral describes it as "partial 16S ribosomal RNA". It matches the Rfam family "Bacterial small subunit ribosomal RNA", at positions 28 to 507 of the family's 1533-position model. The record is from RNAcentral.
GACGAACGCUGGCGGCGUGCUUAACACAUGCAAGUCGAACGGAAAGGCCCUGCUUUUGUGGGGUGCUCGAGUGGCGAACGGGUAAGUAACCCGUGAGUAACCUGCCCUUGACUUUGGGAUAACUUCAGGAAACUGGGGCUAAUCCCGGAUAGGAGCUCCUGCUGCAUGGUGGGGGUUGGAAAGUUUCGGCGGUUGGGGAUGGACUCGCGGAUUAUCAGCUUGUUGGUGGGGUAGUGGCUUACCAAGGCUUUGAAGGGUAGCCGGCCUGAGAGGGUGACCGGCCACACUGGGACUGAGAUGCGGCCCAGACUCCAACGGGAGGCAGCAGUGGGGAAUAGUGCACAAUGGGCUGAAGCCUGAUGCAGCAACGCCGCGUGCGGGAUGACGGCCUUCGGGUUGUAAACCGCUUUCGCCUGUGACGAAGCGUGAGUGACGGUAAUGGGUAAAGAAGCACCGGCUAACUACGUG